GAUGAACGCUGGCGGCGUGCCUAAUACAUGCAAGUCGAGCGAACGGACGAGAAGCUUGCUUCUCUGAUGUUAGCGGCGGACGGGUGAGUAACACGUGGAUAACCUACCUAUAAGACUGGGAUAACUUCGGGAAACCGUAGCUAAUACCGGAUAAUAUUUUGAACCGCAUGGUUCAAAAGUGAAAGACGGUCUUGCUGUCACUUAUAGAUGGAUCCGCGCUGCAUUAGCUAGUUGGUAAGGUAACGGCUUACCAAGGCAACGAUGCAUAGCCGACCUGAGAGGGUGCGGGCCCACACUGAAACGAAGCCACGCUCCAGCCUCCACGGGGGGGCAGAGGUGGGGACUCUUCCACAGUGGGCGAAGCCCUGACGAGCAAACGCCGGGUGAGUGAUGAAGUUCUGCGGUUCUUAAAACUCUGUUAUUGGGAAAAAAAAUAUGUGAAAGAAACUGUGCACAUCUUGAGGGACCCAAAUCAGAAGCCCACGCCAAGCACCGCG
RNAcentral lists this ribosomal RNA (497 nucleotides) under uncultured bacterium. Its description in RNAcentral is "partial 16S ribosomal RNA". It matches the Rfam family "Bacterial small subunit ribosomal RNA", at positions 28 to 507 of the family's 1533-position model. The record is from RNAcentral.